GGCGGACGGGUGAGUAACGCGUAAAGAACUUGCCCUUUAGACUGGGAUAACAGAGGGAAACUUCUGAUAAUACUGGAUAAGUUAGUAUAUCGCAUGAUAUGCAAAUGAAAGCUACGGCACUAAAGGAGAGCUUUGCGUCCUAUUAGCUAGUUGGUAAGGUAAGAGCUUACCAAGGCGAUGAUAGGUAGCCGGCCUGAGAGGGUGGACGGCCACAAGGGGACUGAGAUACGGCCCUUACUCCUACGGGAGGCAGCAGUU
This 258-nucleotide ribosomal RNA is filed under the name uncultured Leptotrichia sp. RNAcentral describes it as "partial 16S ribosomal RNA". It matches the Rfam family "Bacterial small subunit ribosomal RNA", at positions 97 to 355 of the family's 1533-position model. Lineage: Bacteria; Fusobacteriati; Fusobacteriota; Fusobacteriia; Fusobacteriales; Leptotrichiaceae. The record is from RNAcentral.